RNAcentral lists this ribosomal RNA (483 nucleotides) under uncultured bacterium. Its description in RNAcentral is "partial 16S ribosomal RNA". It matches the Rfam family "Bacterial small subunit ribosomal RNA", at positions 30 to 507 of the family's 1533-position model. The record is from RNAcentral.
AUUGAACGCUGGCGGCAGGCCUAACACAUGCAAGUCGAGCGGAUGAAGGGAGCUUGCUCCUGGAUUCAGCGGCGGACGGGUGAGUAAUGCCUAGGAAUCUGCCUGGUAGUGGGGGAUAACGUCCGGAAACGGGCGCUAAUACCGCAUACGUCCUGAGGGAGAAAGUGGGGGAUCUUCGGACCUCACGCUAUCAGAUGAGCCUAGGUCGGAUUAGCUAGUUGGUGGGUAAAGGCCUACCAAGGCGACGAUCCGUAACUGGUCUGAGAGGAUGAUCAGUCACACUGGAACUGAGACACGGUCCAGACUCCUACGGGAGGCAGCAGUGGGGAAUAUUGGACAAUGGGCGAAAGCCUGAUCCAGCCAUGCCGCGUGUGUGAAGAAGGUCUUCGGAUUGUAAAGCACUUUAAGUUGGGAGGAAGGGCAGUAAGUUAAUACCUUGCUGUUUUGACGUUACCAACAGAAUAAGCACCGGCUAACCUCGUG